CCUACGGGGCGCAGCAGUCGAGAAUCAUUCACAAUGGGGGAAACCCUGAUGGUGCGACGCCGCGUGGGGGAAUGAAGGUCUUCGGAUUGUAAACCCCUGUCAUGUGGGAGCAAAUUAAAAAGAUAGUACCACAAGAGGAAGAGACGGCUAACUCUGUGCCAGCAGCCGCGGUAAUACAGAGGUCUCAAGCGUUGUUCGGAAUCACUGGGCGUAAAGUGUGCGUAGGCGGUUUCGUAAGUCGUGUGUGAAAGGCGCGGGCUCAACCCGCGGACGGCACAUGAUACUGCGAGACUAGAGUAAUGGAGGGGGAACCGGAAUUCUCGGUGUAGCAGUGAAAUGCGUAGAUAUCGAGAGGAACACUCGUGGCGAAGGCGGGUUCCUGGACAUUAACUGACGCUGAGGCACGAAGGCCAGGGGAGCGAAAGGGAUUAGAUACCCCAGUAGUC
Molecule: ribosomal RNA, 446 nt
Filed under: uncultured bacterium
Lineage: Bacteria
Description: partial 16S ribosomal RNA
Rfam family: Bacterial small subunit ribosomal RNA
Source: RNAcentral